RNAcentral lists this long non-coding RNA (256 nucleotides) under Cyanistes caeruleus (blue tit). RNAcentral describes it as "lncRNA (ENSCCEG00000016341.1)". The record is from RNAcentral. Lineage: Eukaryota; Metazoa; Chordata; Aves; Passeriformes; Paridae.
CUGAAGCUGGACCCAAAAGCUGAAAAUAAGCAGCUGCAAAUGUAAAUGGUCCCCUUUGGUAUCCAGCACGCCCAAUUAGAGAAGUGGCCCACAUGAGAAUUGGGAAACCAAGGACUUUGUCCCUGAGCUGCCACAUUGGACGAGGAAACUGAAGCUCACUGGGAGCACGGAAACAAGGCAGAAAAACAGACUUCUGGCAGUGAUGUCAUUGUUGAAGUUUUGUGUUGAGUACUUGAAACCAGCAACCCAGCUGUGA